RNAcentral lists this ribosomal RNA (362 nucleotides) under Klebsiella pneumoniae. RNAcentral's name for it is "bacterial SSU rRNA". It matches the Rfam family "Bacterial small subunit ribosomal RNA", at positions 355 to 709 of the family's 1533-position model. The record is from RNAcentral. Lineage: Bacteria; Pseudomonadati; Pseudomonadota; Gammaproteobacteria; Enterobacterales; Enterobacteriaceae.
UGGGGAAUAUUGCACAAUGGGCGCAAGCCUGAUGCAGCCAUGCCGCGUGUGUGAAGAAGGCCUUCGGGUUGUAAAGCACUUUCAGCGGGGAGGAAGGCGGUGAGGUUAAUAACCUUGGCGAUUGACGUUACCCGCAGAAGAAGCACCGGCUAACUCCGUGCCAGCAGCCGCGGUAAUACGGAGGGUGCAAGCGUUAAUCGGAAUUACUGGGCGUAAAGCGCACGCAGGCGGUCUGUCAAGUCGGAUGUGAAAUCCCCGGGCUCAACCUGGGAACUGCAUUCGAAACUGGCAGGCUAGAGUCUUGUAGAGGGGGGUAGAAUUCCAGGUGUAGCGGUGAAAUGCGUAGAGAUCUGGAGGAAUAC